RNAcentral lists this ribosomal RNA (100 nucleotides) under Lepisosteus oculatus (spotted gar). The record is from RNAcentral. Lineage: Eukaryota; Metazoa; Chordata; Actinopteri; Semionotiformes; Lepisosteidae.
UCCAGCAGCCAUAUCACCCUGCAACCCACUGGAGCUCAGCAGGUGUGAGCCUGGCCAGUACCUGGAGGGGAGACUCCUGGGAAAGCUGAGGCUGCUGGAA